Molecule: long non-coding RNA, 518 nt
Filed under: Linum usitatissimum (flax)
Lineage: Eukaryota; Viridiplantae; Streptophyta; Magnoliopsida; Malpighiales; Linaceae
Description: long non-coding RNA (LUSI_LNC006093)
Source: RNAcentral
GUCACGCUUGGAGGCUGCAAAGUGUUAGCCAAGAGGAUGCCGGGGCUGAAUGUGGAGAUCAUGAACGAGAAUGAUCAGAUGGAGUUUGGGGAUGAUGAUCGGCAAAAGGUGGACAAGAUGUACCUGUAUCGAACGCUGGCUGGACAAAGAAGAGAUGCACCUGGAUUCGUCUGGACACUGUAAGGUAAAAGAAGAGGUAGGCAAUAAGUAAGCAAGCAUUAUAAGAAAGGAAGAGGUUGCUUCCAUCUCUUGCCUAUCAAAGCCUGUGUUGUACCCUAUGAAAUACUCUGUUGAGUUAGUUUGUACUUUGUGUAGGCCAACUGAUGAUCACUGUAAUGGAUAUUAUUACUUGGUGGGUGUUAUUUGUUGCACUUUGAGGUUUAGUUUUGUAAGAGAUUUGAAUAUGGUUGGGGGGUGUUUAUACUCCCCUUUUUAUUUGGCAUAUUCAUAAAUUAGAGUACUCUCCUAUUGGGGCUGCUUAUUUCUAUGAUAUGUCUUUGCAUUGUUACCAUUUCCAG